RNAcentral lists this ribosomal RNA (615 nucleotides) under Leotiomycetes sp. JCM 28163. RNAcentral's name for it is "eukaryotic LSU rRNA". It matches the Rfam family "Eukaryotic large subunit ribosomal RNA", at positions 38 to 667 of the family's 3401-position model. Lineage: Eukaryota; Fungi; Ascomycota; Leotiomycetes. The record is from RNAcentral.
GCAUAUCAAUAAGCGGAGGAAAAGAAACCAACAGGGAUUGCCUCAGUAACGGCGAGUGAAGCGGCAACAGCUCAAAUUUGAAAUCUGGCUCCUUCGGGGUCCGAGUUGUAAUUUGUAGAAGAUGCUUCGGGUGUGGCUCCGGUCUAAGUUCCUUGGAACAGGACGUCAUAGAGGGUGAGAAUCCCGUAUGUGACUGGGUGCCUAUGCUCAUGUGAAGCUCUUUCGACGAGUCGAGUUGUUUGGGAAUGCAGCUCUAAAUGGGUGGUAAAUUUCAUCUAAAGCUAAAUAUUGGCCAGAGACCGAUAGCGCACAAGUAGAGUGAUCGAAAGAUGAAAAGCACUUUGGAAAGAGAGUUAAAUAGUACGUGAAAUUGUUGAAAGGGAAGCGCUUGCAACCAGACUUGCGCGUCGUUGAUCAUCUGGUGUUCUCACCGGUGCGCUCAGCGACGUUCAGGCCAGCAUCAGUUCUGGUGGUUGGAUAAAGGCCCUGGGAAUGUGGCUCUCUUCGGGGAGUGUUAUAGCCCAGGGUGCAAUGCAGCCUACCGGGACUGAGGACCGCGCUUCGGCUAGGAUGCUGGCGUAAUGGUUGUAAGCGACCCGUCUUGAAACACGGACC